AAGGGCACCACAAGAACGCGUGGAGCAUGUGGCUUAAUUUGACUCAACGCGGGAAAUCUUACCAGGUCCGGACAUAUUGAGGAUUGACAGGCGAUAGUAAUAUUAUUAUAUAAUAUUGCAUAAAAAUGAUAGUCCUUUCAUGAUUAUAUGAUAGGUGGUGCAUGGCCGUUCUUAGUUCGUGGAGUGAUUUGUCUGCUUAAUUGCGUUUCAGAUAUAUAAUUAUAUAAUAUAUUAUAUAUGUAAUAUAUAAUUUAAUAUUGUGCUGCCUUAUAUAUAUAAUUAUAUAGGAUUUUAAGUGAACAUAUUUUAUUAUUACAUAUAUUAUUAUAUAUAUUUAUUAUAUAUUAAAAUGAAUGCAACGAACGUGACCGUAACCUUUUAUUGCUAUAAAUAAUAUAUAUUAUUUAUAUUAUAAUAUAGCAUAAAAUUAAAGGGACCGCUGUCUAAAUUUUAGUGUUAAAAUAGAGUAAGAUUACGGCAAUAACAGGUCUGUGAUGCCCUCAGAUGUUCUGGGCUGCACACGUGCUACAAUAAUUACAUUAAUAAGUAUCUAUUAUAAUACAUAAUAUGUUUACAUAUUAUAAUAAACCUAUUUCGAAAGUAAAUGGGUAAUCAUUUAAAAAUCGUGAUUAUUCAUACAUAUAUGGUAUAUUAAUAUUGUAUAAUACUAUACAUUUUAUAGUACUAUUACAAAUACCAUUAAUUAAUUUAAGGGGGGGAUAGUGUAUUGUUAAAUAUUACACUUGGCCUUAACCAAGAAUGCCUUGUACUCUUCUUUGGUUUAACAUACCAAGAGGAAUACGUCCCUGCCCUUUGUACACACCGCCCGUCGCUCUUACCGAUGAAUUAUAUUAUAAAUC
This 860-nucleotide ribosomal RNA is filed under the name Peneroplis planatus. RNAcentral describes it as "bacterial SSU rRNA". It matches the Rfam family "Eukaryotic small subunit ribosomal RNA", at positions 1160 to 1707 of the family's 1831-position model. Lineage: Eukaryota; Foraminifera; Miliolida; Peneroplidae. The record is from RNAcentral.